Alligator mississippiensis (American alligator) is the source of this 45-nucleotide non-coding RNA. The record is from Rfam. Lineage: Eukaryota; Metazoa; Chordata; Crocodylia; Alligatoridae.
AUAAAGGAUUUUUUAAAAUCCCUAAAUGUAACCAAGGAAGGAUUC